AUGUGUUUAAGAAUCAUGACAGCUUCUAGUAUAGCACUUAAACUACAUACAAUUGUUAGUGUCAGCUCCAAAUAUCAGUUGUGGUUUUCCAACUUCAAAAACUUUCACUUAAGUUCUUCCAAAGAUCAGGAAAGAGCAGAUCUGAAUGUAGCAAAACAUGCAGCCAUACCUAAAAUCGACGUGGAUGCAAAGAGCUUUUAAGUGACACGAAGAAGGCUUUAAAGUGUGUAGCCCUCACUCUCACAAAAUGGGAACCCAUCAUUCAUCCAUCAAUUCAAACCAACAUCAAUAUUACAGCGGAAACUCCUUCUGCAGUAAGUCUAUAUUCCGAGAAUCACAAGCUUCCAGCAUGUCAUUCCUAGAAGCACAGCUUAAUGAAAUUCUCAAAUAUUGCCAGGCAUUAUCUGCCUUGGGAUUCAUAGCAAGUGCCCGCACAUAGUAACGAAUGGACUCCUCGUACAUACCCUGGUUGGCAUAACU
Molecule: unclassified non-coding RNA, 480 nt
Filed under: Hevea brasiliensis (rubber tree)
Lineage: Eukaryota; Viridiplantae; Streptophyta; Magnoliopsida; Malpighiales; Euphorbiaceae
Source: RNAcentral